This 254-nucleotide ribosomal RNA is filed under the name uncultured bacterium. RNAcentral describes it as "partial 16S ribosomal RNA". It matches the Rfam family "Bacterial small subunit ribosomal RNA", at positions 524 to 776 of the family's 1533-position model. The record is from RNAcentral.
UACGGGGGGAGCAAGCGUUGUUCGGAUUUACUGGGCGUAAAGGGCGCGUAGGCGGUCAGCACAAGUCAGUUGUGAAAUCUCCGGGCUUAACCCGGAAAGGUCAACUGAUACUGUGCGACUAGAGUGCGGAAGGGGCAACUGGAAUUCUUGGUGUAGCGGUGAAAUGCGUAGAUAUCAAGAGGAACACCUGCGGCGAAGGCGGGUCUCUGGGCCGAAAUUGACGCUGAGGAGCGAAAGCGUGGGGAGCAAACAGG